This 253-nucleotide ribosomal RNA is filed under the name uncultured bacterium. RNAcentral describes it as "partial 16S ribosomal RNA". It matches the Rfam family "Bacterial small subunit ribosomal RNA", at positions 524 to 776 of the family's 1533-position model. The record is from RNAcentral.
UACGUAGGUGUCAAGCGUUGUCCGGAUUUCCUGGGCGUACAGAGCGCGCAGGCGGUCGUCCAAGUCGCGUGUGAAAGCCCCCGGCUCAACUGGGGAGGGUCACGCGAUACUGGUCGACUCGAAGGCAGGAGAGGGUAGUGGAAUUCCCGGUGUAGUGGUGAAAUGCGUAGAUAUCGGGAGGAACACCAGUGGCGAAGGCGACUACCUGGCCUGUUCGUGACGCUGAGGCGCGAAAGCUAGGGGAGCAAACGGG